UACGGAGGAUCCGAGCGUUAUCCGGAUUUAUUGGGUUUAAAGGGUGCGUAGGCGGAUAUGUAAGUCAGCGGUGAAACUCACAGGCUCAACCUGUGCCGUGCCGUUGAAACUGUGUAUCUGGAAUGCGGAUGCUGUGGGAGGAAUGUGUAGUGUAGCGGUGAAAUGCAUAGAUAUUACACAGAACGCCGAUUGCGAAGGCAUCUCACAAAGCCGUUAUUGACGCUGAGGCACGAAAGUGUGGGGAUCAAACA
RNAcentral lists this ribosomal RNA (251 nucleotides) under uncultured prokaryote. Its description in RNAcentral is "partial 16S ribosomal RNA". It matches the Rfam family "Bacterial small subunit ribosomal RNA", at positions 524 to 774 of the family's 1533-position model. The record is from RNAcentral.